RNAcentral lists this transfer RNA (65 nucleotides) under Megalurothrips usitatus (bean blossom thrips). RNAcentral describes it as "tRNA-Ser". Lineage: Eukaryota; Metazoa; Arthropoda; Insecta; Thysanoptera; Thripidae. The record is from RNAcentral.
AAUUAAUUAGCUUAUACAAAGUUUGUAUUUUGAAAAUACAAGAAAGAUUAAAAAUUUAUUAAUUU